This 494-nucleotide ribosomal RNA is filed under the name uncultured bacterium. RNAcentral's name for it is "partial 16S ribosomal RNA". It matches the Rfam family "Bacterial small subunit ribosomal RNA", at positions 28 to 507 of the family's 1533-position model. The record is from RNAcentral.
GACGAACGCUGGCGGCGUGCUUAACACAUGCAAGUCGAACGGAAAGGCCUGCUUUCCCUUGUGGAUUGCGGGUACUCGAGUGGCGAACGGGUGAGUAACACGUGAGUGAUCUGCCCCCAACUUGGGUAUAAGCCUGGGAAACUGGGUCUAAUUCCCGAUAGGACUGCAGGGUGGUGCCUGUGGUGGAAAACGAUUUUCUAGUGGUUGGGGAUGAGCUCGCGGCCUAUCAGCUUGUUGGUGGGGUAAUGGCCUACCAAGGCGGCGACGGGUAGCCGGCCUGAGAGGGUGGACGGCCACAUUGGGACUGAGAUACGGCCCAGACUCCUACGGGAGGCAGCAGUGGGGAAUAUGGCACAAUGGGCGGAAGCCUGAUGCAGCGACGCCGCGGGGGGGAUGACGGCCUUCGGGUUGUAAACUCCUUUCGACCGCGAGGAAGCCACCUGGUUGGAAGGGUGGUGACGGUAGUGGUAGAAGAAGCACCGGCUAACUACGUG